This 429-nucleotide ribosomal RNA is filed under the name Pseudomonadota bacterium. RNAcentral's name for it is "Proteobacteria bacterium partial 16S ribosomal RNA". It matches the Rfam family "Bacterial small subunit ribosomal RNA", at positions 355 to 776 of the family's 1533-position model. The record is from RNAcentral. Lineage: Bacteria; Pseudomonadati; Pseudomonadota.
UGGGGAAUAUUGGACAAUGGGCGAAAGCCUGAUCCAGCCAUGCCGCGUGUGUGAAGAAGGUCUUCGGAUUGUAAAGCACUUUAAGUUGGGAGGAAGGGCAGUAAGCGAAUACCUUGCUGUUUUGACGUUACCGACAGAAUAAGCACCGGCUAACUCUGUGCCAGCAGCCGCGGUAAUACAGAGGGUGCAAGCGUUUAUCGGAAUUACUGGGCGUAAAGCGCGCGUAGGUGGUUCGUUAAGUUGAAUGUGAAAGCCACGGGCUCAACCUGGGAACUGCAUCCAAAACUGGCGAGCUAGAGUAGGGCAGAGGGUGGUGGAAUUUCCUGUGUAGCGGUGAAAUGCGUAGAUAUAGGAAGGAGCACCAGUGGCGAAGGCGACCACCUGGGCUCAUACUGACACUGAGGUGCGAAAGCGUGGGGAGCAAACAGG